Molecule: ribosomal RNA, 555 nt
Filed under: Drosophila takahashii
Lineage: Eukaryota; Metazoa; Arthropoda; Insecta; Diptera; Drosophilidae
Description: eukaryotic LSU rRNA
Rfam family: Eukaryotic large subunit ribosomal RNA
Source: RNAcentral
GUUUGGUAUCGUCAAUGAAAUACCACUACUCUUAUUGUUUCCUUACUUACUUGAUUAAAUGGAACGUGUAUCAUUUCCUAGCCAUUAUACGGAUAUAUUUAUUAUAUCUUAUGGUAUUGGGUUUUGAUGCAAGCUUCUUGAUCAAAGUAUCACGAGUUUGUUAUAUAAUCGCAAACAAAUUCUUUAAUAAAACGGUGCAUUUAUGUAUUUUUGAUUUGAAAAUUUGGUAUAACUCCAAUUACUCAGGUAUGAUCCAAUUCAAGGACAUUGCCAGGUAGGGAGUUUGACUGGGGCGGUACAUCUCUCAAAUAAUAACGGAGGUGUCCCAAGGCCAGCUCAGUGCGGACAGAAACCACACAUAGAGCAAAAGGGCAAAUGCUGACUUGAUCUCGGUGUUCAGUACACACAGGGACAGCAAAAGCUCGGCCUAUCGAUCCUUUUGGUUUAAAGAGUUUUUAACAAGAGGUGUCAGAAAAGUUACCAUAGGGAUAACUGGCUUGCGGCGGCCAAGCGUUCAUAGCGACGUCGCUUUUUGAUCCUUCGAUCUCGGCUCUU